AUACGUAGGGGGCGAGCGUUGUCCGGAAUGAUUGGGCGUAAAGGGCGCGUAGGCGGCGCGGUAAGUCUGGAGUGAAAGUCCUGCUUUCAAGGUGGGAAUUGCUUUGGAUACUGCCGCGCUUGAGUGCAGGAGAGGUUAUCGGAAUUCCCGGUGUAGCGGUGAAAUGCGUAGAGAUCGGGAGGAACACCAGUGGCGAAGGCGGGUAUCAGCGCUGCAACUGACGCUGAGCCGCGCAAGUGUGGACAGCAAACAGGAUGUUAUAACCUGGUUUUCCACACUUUAAACGAUGAAUGCUAAGCGUAAGAGUUAUCGACCCAUAUUGUGCCGGAGGCAACACAAUAAUCAUUCCGCCUGGCGAGAACGUCCGCAACGUUGAAACUCAAAUAAAUUGCCUGGG
Molecule: ribosomal RNA, 397 nt
Filed under: uncultured bacterium
Lineage: Bacteria
Description: partial 16S ribosomal RNA
Rfam family: Bacterial small subunit ribosomal RNA
Source: RNAcentral